GAAGGUUGGGUAACACUAACUGGAGGACCGAACCGACUAAUGUUGAAAAAUUAGCGGAUGACCUGUGGCUGGGGGUGAAAGGCCAAUCAAACCGGGAGAUAGCUGGUUCUCCCCGAAAGCUAUUUAGGUAGCGCCUCGUGAAUUCAUCUCCGGGGGUAGAGCACUGUUUCGGCUAGGGGGCCAUCCCGGCUUACCAACCCGAUGCAAACUGCGAAUACCGGAGAAUGUUAUCACGGGAGACACACGGCGGGUGCUAACGUCCGUCGUGAAGAGGGAAACAACCCAGACCGCCAGCUAAGGUCCCAAAGUCAUGGUUAAGUGGGAAACGAUGUGGGAAGGCCCAGACAGCCAGGAUGUUGGCUUAGAAGCAGCCAUCAUUUAAAGAAAGCGUAAUAGCUCACUGGUCGAGUCGGCCUGCGCGGAAGAUGUAACGGGGCUAAACCAUG
Molecule: ribosomal RNA, 446 nt
Filed under: Salmonella enterica
Lineage: Bacteria; Pseudomonadati; Pseudomonadota; Gammaproteobacteria; Enterobacterales; Enterobacteriaceae
Also listed under: 1 other name
Description: partial 23S ribosomal RNA
Rfam family: Bacterial large subunit ribosomal RNA
Source: RNAcentral